CGGGACGGGUGAGUAAUGUCUGGGAAACUGCCUGAUGGGGGGGGAUAACUGCUGGAAACGGUAGCUAAUACCGCAUAACGUCGCAAGACCAAAGAGGGGGACCUUCGGGCCUCUUGCCAUCGGAUGUGCCCAGAUGGGAUUAGCUAGUAGGUGGGGUAACGGCUCACCUAGGCGACGAUCCCUAGCUGGUCUGAGAGGAUGACCAGCCACACUGGAACUGAGACACGGUCCAG
This 233-nucleotide ribosomal RNA is filed under the name uncultured bacterium. Its description in RNAcentral is "partial 16S ribosomal RNA". It matches the Rfam family "Bacterial small subunit ribosomal RNA", at positions 100 to 334 of the family's 1533-position model. The record is from RNAcentral.